Non-coding RNA from Punica granatum (pomegranate), 873 nucleotides. NCBI's taxonomy places the organism in Eukaryota, Viridiplantae, Streptophyta, Magnoliopsida, Myrtales, Lythraceae. The record is from RefSeq and is a predicted model, not a curated record.
AUAUCCGUGUUUCUUGUGAGAGAUUUGAUUAGGGAUGACGUUGAGUUUAGUGCGUUUAUUUUUUGUGUGGACUAUGUGGGUGAUGAUGACGUUAUUAUUAUUAAAUUGUGUGGUGAGCGGGAGGGCAAGCAUAUUAGGUUGGAUGGAAGAUGAGAGAGUUGGGCUGCUUAACCUCAAAGCCGCCUUCAACUUCUCCGAUGGGACUGCUAUUCCCUUGUGGCGCGCCAAUCACCUGCCGAUAACGUUGCCAAUACUAUGCGGGUGGCUGAGGUCAACCUCUAUCUAUGGCGCACGAGAUUAUAAACUCCCGCAGCCAUAGUCUCUGGAUGCAUCCUUGUUAAUUCCUUUUUUUAGAGGAGCUACACGGUUUUACAAACACCUUGAGAUUGAAGAACCUAUGCUCACUAGUUUUAAGUGAUAAUCACUUGAAGCAAGUUCCGGACUUGAAUGCGCUACCUUCUCUCACGGAUUUAUUUUUGAGUUAUAAUCCACUGACGAACUUGAAUCAUGUUAAAAGGUACGUAUGGUUGCUUUCACUGACAUAUAUAUAACUAGACUAUUUCUACACUACCGAUCUUCCCGAUCUUUAGGGAGGCUCAAGUGCAUGAAUCUGUCCCUUUCACACAGAGAGACAUAUAAAAGGAUCAAAGGCAGUUCAAUGAAUCUGUCUACCAUGACAAAUAUAGUCGUAAGUAUAUGGUAGGAAACCUGUAUAAAGUGUGAGAAAAUAUAUAUAAUUCCUUUGAUUAUUCAUGCAGUUGUAUCGUGCUAUGUGUAUAUUCACAUCGACGCCGCAUUAAGAAAAUCUUGUAAGUGGCCCUACGUACCUCGUCACAUUGAUGUAAUGAAAAAGAACUAAUUAAAUUGUUUUAA